Molecule: ribosomal RNA, 200 nt
Filed under: uncultured bacterium
Lineage: Bacteria
Description: partial 16S ribosomal RNA
Rfam family: Bacterial small subunit ribosomal RNA
Source: RNAcentral
AGAGUUUGAUCAUGGCUCAGAACGAACGCUGGCGGCAUGCCUAAUACAUGCAAGUCGAACGCGCCUAGCAAUAGGCGAGUGGCGGACGGGUGAGUAACGCGUGGGAACCUGCCCUUGAGUGCGGGAUAACCGAGGGAAACUUCGGCUAAUACCGCAUGCUCCCGAGCAAUCGGGGAGAGAUUUAUCGCUCGAGGAGGGGC